RNAcentral lists this ribosomal RNA (460 nucleotides) under uncultured bacterium. Its description in RNAcentral is "partial 16S ribosomal RNA". It matches the Rfam family "Bacterial small subunit ribosomal RNA", at positions 338 to 795 of the family's 1533-position model. The record is from RNAcentral.
CCUACGGGUGGCAGCAGUGAGGAAUAUUGGACAAUGGACGAGAGUCUGAACCAGCCAAGUAGCGUGAAGGAUGAAUGCCCUAUGGGUUGUAAACUUCUUUUAUAAAGGAAUAAAGAGAGAAACGAGUACCUUUUUGCAUGUACUUUAUGCAUAAGAAUAGGCUAACUCAGUGCCAGCAGCCGCGGUAAUACGGAGGAUCCGAGCGUUAUCCGGAUUUAUUGGGUGUAAGGGGAACUUAGAUGGUUUGUUAAGUCAGUUGUGAAAGUUUGCGGCUCAACCGGAAAAUUGCAAUUGAUACUGGCAGUCUUGAGUACAGUAGAGGUAGGUGGAAUUCGGGGUGUAGCGGUGAAAUGCUUAGAGAUCACGAAGAACCCCGAUUGCGAAGGCAGCCUACUAAACGGUGACUGACAUUGAUGUUCGAAAGUGUGGGUAUCAAACAGGAUUAGAUACCCGGGUAGUC